This 253-nucleotide ribosomal RNA is filed under the name uncultured Planctomycetales bacterium. RNAcentral's name for it is "partial 16S ribosomal RNA". It matches the Rfam family "Bacterial small subunit ribosomal RNA", at positions 575 to 828 of the family's 1533-position model. Lineage: Bacteria; Pseudomonadati; Planctomycetota; Planctomycetia; Planctomycetales. The record is from RNAcentral.
GUGGGUUUGUAAGUCGGGCGUGAAAUCCCUCGGCUUAACCGAGGAACUGCGUCCGAAACUGCAUGGCUUGAGGACGGAAGGGGAAGGUGGAAUUCCUGUGGAGCGGUGAAAUGCGUAGAUAUCAGGAGGAACGCCGGUGGCGAAAGCGGCCUUCUGGUCCGUUUCUGACGCUGAGGUGCGAAAGCUAGGGGAGCAAACAGGAUUAGAUACCCUGGUAGUCCUAGCCGUAAACGAUGGGCACUAAGUAGAGGGG